CUCCACCUUGCCAACUUAUCAUGUUGCUUCACGAGGGUUUAUCGGCCAAUGGACAGUGGGGCGAAGGCUACAUUUCUUUAGGUACUCAUGGACAUUUGUGAUUUGCAUGCUGGCCUUUGGGUCGUGGCUAGGGAUUUCAACCUCUUGGUUAACCUUGAGGACAAGAAUAAUGUGGUUGUAAACAUGUACAUGAUUGCUCGCAUCCGAGGAAAUUUGAAUAGGCUUGAACUCAAGGAAAUUUGUCUCAAUGGUCGGAGCUAUACAUGGUCCAAUGAGAGGGAACAACCCACGUUGGAGAACAUCGACCAUGUUUUCACGGUUAUGACGUGGGAAGAGCUCUGCCCCUUAUGUCUUGGCUCGAUAUUGGGGGCGGCCUUAUUUGAUCAUUGUCCAUUGUUGUUGGACUUGGACAUAGAGGUAAAGAUCGGGCGGGGAUUGUUCGAAUGCUUCUCACACAAGGUUGGUGGUUUUUUGGAUGUGGUUUCCAGGGCUUAG
This 495-nucleotide ribosomal RNA is filed under the name Triticum aestivum (bread wheat). Its description in RNAcentral is "partial small subunit ribosomal RNA". Lineage: Eukaryota; Viridiplantae; Streptophyta; Magnoliopsida; Poales; Poaceae. The record is from RNAcentral.